UCAUUAUUGAAUAAACUUGAACAAGCUGAAAAUUCUUCUGCUGGCUUCUUUGGAGGCAUGUGCACGCUUGUCAUCUUUAUCUUUCCAGCUGUGCACUUAUUGUAGAUCUUGGAAGUUUGAUUUAUUUUCAAUAGAUUAAGGAUUGCUGUACUUUUACAAAAAAGGUCAGCUUUGCCUUGUAUUUCAAGAUCUAUGUUUAUUACAAACCUUUUAAUGUUUAGAAUGUUGAAAAGAGUUGAUAAUAAAUUAUACAACUUUCAGCAACGGAUCUCUUGGCUCUCGCAUCGAUGAAGAACGCAGCGAAAUGCGAUAAGUAAUGUGAAUUGCAGAAUUCAGUGAAUCAUCAAAUUUUUGAACGCAUCUUGCGCUUCUUGGUAUUCUGAGGAGCAUGCCUGUUUGAGUGUCAUUAAAUUCUCAACCAUAUUAAAUUCUUUUGAUAUGGCUUGGUUGUUGGAAGCCUGCAGGUCUUUAGAUCUGCUCUUCUAAAAUGCAUUAGUGGUAUUUGUGCAGAAGCUACUUAUAGAUGUGAUAAUUAAUUACUUACAUCUCUGUAGCUGUGAUCAUACCGCUACUAACAAAAGUGAACUUGUUUAAUAUACUUGACCUCAAAUCAGGUAGGACUACCCGCUGAACUUAAGCAUAUCAAUAAGCGGAGGAAAAGAAACUAACAAGGAUUCCCUUAGUAACUGCGAGUGAAGUGGGAAAAGCUCAAAUUUGAAAUCUGGCAGUUCUUGACUGUCCGAGUUGUAAUCUAGAGAAGUGUUACCAGUGCUGGACCAUGUACAAGUCUUCUGGAAUGGAGUAUCAUAGAGGGUGAGAAUCCCGUCUUUGACAUGGACUACCAGUGCAGUAUGGUGUGCUCUCAAAGAGUCGAGUUGUUUGGGAAUGCAGCUCAAAAUGGGUGGUAAAUGCCAUCUAAAGCUAAAUAUUGGCGAGAGACCGAUAGUGAACAAGUACCGUGAGGGAAAGAUGAAAAGAACUUUGGAAAGAGAGUUAAACAGUACGUGAAAUUGCUGAAAGGGAAACGCUUGAAGUCAGUCACAUUGGCUAGAAAUCAGCCUUGCUUUUGCUGGGUGUUUUUUCUUGCUUAAUGGGUCAGCAUCAAUUUUGACUGCUGGAUAAAGUCUUUGGGAAUGUGGCAUCUUUGGAUGUGUUAUAGCCCAUUGUUGCAUACAGUAGUUGGGAUUGAGGAACUCAGCAUGCCACAAGGCCAGGUAUUAAACCAUGUUCAUGCUUAGGAUGCUGGCAUAAUGGCUUUAAUUGACCCGUCUUGAAACACGGACCAAGGAGUCUAACAUGCUUGCGAGUGUUUGAGUGGAAAACUCAUUCGCAUAAUGAAAGUGAAAGUCGAGAUCUUCAUUUGAUGAGCAUCGAUGCCCGGACCAGACCUUUUGUGACGGAUCUGCGGUAGAGCAUGCAUGUUGGGACCCGAAAGAUGGUGAACUAUGCCUGAAUAGGGUGAAGCCAGAGGAAACUCUGGUGGAGGCUCGUAGCGAU
RNAcentral lists this ribosomal RNA (1497 nucleotides) under uncultured Inocybe. RNAcentral describes it as "eukaryotic LSU rRNA". The stretch from base 601 to 1497 matches the Rfam family "Eukaryotic large subunit ribosomal RNA", at positions 1 to 884 of the family's 3401-position model. Lineage: Eukaryota; Fungi; Basidiomycota; Agaricomycetes; Agaricales; Cortinariaceae. The record is from RNAcentral.